This 301-nucleotide ribosomal RNA is filed under the name uncultured bacterium. RNAcentral's name for it is "partial 16S ribosomal RNA". It matches the Rfam family "Bacterial small subunit ribosomal RNA", at positions 509 to 807 of the family's 1533-position model. The record is from RNAcentral.
CAGCCGCCGCGGUAAUACGUAGGGUGCAAGCGUUAAUCGGAAUUACUGGGCGUAAAGCGUGCGCAGGCGGUUAUAUAAGACAGAUGUGAAAUCCCCGGGCUCAACCUGGGAACUGCAUUUGUGACUGUAUAGCUAGAGUACGGCAGAGGGGGAUGGAAUUCCGCGUGUAGCAGUGAAAUGCGUAGAUAUGCGGAGGAACACCGAUGGCGAAGGCAAUCCCCUGGGCCUGUACUGACGCUCAUGCACGAAAGCGUGGGGAGCAAACAGGAUUAGAUACCCCUGUAGUCCCUGUAUCUUAUAC